This is a long non-coding RNA of Passer domesticus (house sparrow), 649 nucleotides long. RefSeq lists it as uncharacterized. The transcript is spliced from 2 exons. Lineage: Eukaryota; Metazoa; Chordata; Aves; Passeriformes; Passeridae. The record is from RefSeq and is a predicted model, not a curated record.
CGGCAAUGGUGGGCAGCGAGGGAGGGCUGCAGCAGGAACGGCGGCUGGAAGGGCAGGGAGGAGCAGAUCCCGCAGGAUUUAAAGAUGUGUCUGAGACUCUGCAGCUGUAGCAGGAGCCACAGGGAAUGAGUUAUGGCACCUGGGAGCUCCCUGCAGGAUGGGGAAAGGGGCACCCAGGGACAGCACAGCAACGUGGGAGCUCCCAGACCAGGCUUUGGCAGCCCACACCUCCCCAAGGAGAGUGAGGAUGGAAAAGGUUGCACAGAGAAUCCAUCUUCCUGCUGGACUGGUCAGUCCCACAGCCAGGAAAACCCUUCCUGGAAGCCGGUGGAAUUUUUUCCUGCUUGCUUCUUUGGUUUUUAUUAUUUCUUUUUUUUUACUGUCAAGGCCCAUCUGGAGGCUACAAAUGCCCUGCAGGUCUGUAAGAGAUGGGCUUUGAACACAUCCCAAAAAGUUCUGCUUGGAGUGCCACCGUGGGAGCUGGUGGCACUGACACCCCCAUGGACCCAGGGACAUCCAGGAGAGCAGCAACCCCAGCCUGGCCUCGGGGGGUUGUUGCCUUUAAAUACCUCCAAAGGAAGAGGGAAAAAAAGACAAGGGAAAAAAUUCCAAGCAGCAAACAAAAUAAAUCUUCCUCUCCAAGCCAAAA